RNAcentral lists this non-coding RNA (30 nucleotides) under Mus musculus (house mouse). Lineage: Eukaryota; Metazoa; Chordata; Mammalia; Rodentia; Muridae. The record is from RNAcentral.
UGUGUGUGCAUAUUCAUGAAUCCAGAACUC